This 871-nucleotide ribosomal RNA is filed under the name uncultured bacterium. RNAcentral's name for it is "bacterial SSU rRNA". It matches the Rfam family "Bacterial small subunit ribosomal RNA", at positions 622 to 1505 of the family's 1533-position model. The record is from RNAcentral.
UGCAGUUGAUACUGGGGGCCUUGAGUGCGGCAGAGGCAGGCGGAAUUCGUGGUGUAGCGGUGAAAUGCUUAGAUAUCACGAAGAACUCCGAUUGCGAAGGCAGCUUGCUGGACCGUAACUGACGUUGAUGCUCGAAAGUGCGGGUAUCAAACAGGAUUAGAUACCCUGGUAGUCCGCACAGUAAACGAUGAAUACUCGCUGUUGGCGAUAUACUGCCAGCGGCCAAGCGAAAGCGUUAAGUAUUCCACCUGGGGAGUACGCCGGCAACGGUGAAACUCAAAGGAAUUGACGGGGGCCCGCACAAGCGGAGGAACAUGUGGUUUAAUUCGAUGAUACGCGAGGAACCUUACCCGGGCUUGAACUGCAGCGGAAUGAUUUGGAAACAGAUCAGCGAGCAAUCGCCGCUGUGGAGGUGCUGCAUGGUUGUCGUCAGCUCGUGCCGUGAGGUGUCGGCUUAAGUGCCAUAACGAGCGCAACCCUUACCGAUAGUUGCCAUCAGGUGACGCUGGGGACUCUAUCGGGACUGCCGUCGUAAGAUGUGAGGAAGGUGGGGAUGACGUCAAAUCAGCACGGCCCUUACGUCCGGGGCUACACACGUGUUACAAUGGGGGGUACAGCAGGCCGCUACCGGGCGACCGGAUGCCAAUCCCUAAAACCCCUCUCAGUUCGGACUGGAGUCUGCAACCCGACUCCACGAAGCUGGAUUCGCUAGUAAUCGCGCAUCAGCCACGGCGCGGUGAAUACGUUCCCGGGCCUUGUACACACCGCCCGUCAAGCCAUGAAAGCCGGGGGUACNNNAAGUGCGUAACCGCAAGGAGCGCCCUAGGGUAAAACUGGUGAUUGGGGCUAAGUGGUAACAAGGUAGCCGUAA